CUGUAGUAAUAAGGAUUUUUCGCUCCUGUGUGUGGAUUUACAGCCCACCGCCUUACUCGGCCAUAUUACU
This 70-nucleotide transfer RNA is filed under the name Pachydactylus griffini. RNAcentral describes it as "tRNA-Tyr". The record is from RNAcentral. Lineage: Eukaryota; Metazoa; Chordata; Lepidosauria; Squamata; Gekkonidae.